Molecule: ribosomal RNA, 297 nt
Filed under: uncultured Pseudomonadota bacterium
Lineage: Bacteria; Pseudomonadati; Pseudomonadota
Description: uncultured proteobacterium partial 16S ribosomal RNA
Rfam family: Bacterial small subunit ribosomal RNA (bases 61-297)
Source: RNAcentral
AGUAUUUGUAACGUCUUGGUCGGUCUAGGUCCUUAACUACUAUUGUCUAAGUWCGUAACGGUUAACAGGUAAGCAGCUUGCUGCUUCGCUGACGAGUGGCGGACGGGUGAGUAAUGUCUGGGAAGCUGCCUGAUGGAGGGGGAUAACUACUGGAAACGGUAGCUAAUACCGCAUAAUGUCGCAAGACCAAAGAGGGGGACCUUCGGGCCUCUUGCCAUCGGAUGUGCCCAGAUGGGAUUAGCUUGUUGGUGGGUAACGGCUCACCAGGGCGACGAUCCCUAGCUGGUCUGAGAGGAU